This is a long non-coding RNA of Pseudoliparis swirei, 1343 nucleotides long. RefSeq lists it as uncharacterized. The transcript is spliced from 2 exons. Lineage: Eukaryota; Metazoa; Chordata; Actinopteri; Perciformes; Liparidae. The record is from RefSeq and is a predicted model, not a curated record.
CAGUCUGCCCCUGGUAUGGAGAGGCACCGUGUGUGUGUGUGUGUGUGUGUGUCUGUUGUGUAGCACCAACCCAGAGUGUGUUCCCAUUUUGUCCUGAUUCUUGUGUUUUUUUCUUCGUCAUUUGUCAAAUGUCUACUACCGCACACUUGAGCACUUGGAGCUGACUUUCAGUGUUCGAAGUGCGCCACUGACAAAACCAGCAGAAUUCAGAGCACUGAAAGUACCCGGAUGGCGCUCUGCAAACGGGCAGAACAUGUAAAACGAUGGACACUACUCGCUCUAAACGGCCGCCAUCUUGGCUACGUAGCGGAAGAGGAGGAGCCCUUUCGCCAGCUUUUCAUUUUAUUUCUAAAACAAUGGCGGACAGCACAAGCGGUAGACCACGAAGCUACAGACCGUGAAUAGACGUUUCCUGGAGGUGCUGCUGGUCCUCUGCUGCCCUCCCGACAUCUGGCUCCAAUGACCUCUGGCACCUCACAUCCACCUCCAGGGCCUUUAAGAAGAUGGACCGCCAUCGCGUCUUCAGUAUCCCGAAGGACCUCUCCACAACACGCCUCGCCUUUGACAGGCAGCGGUUGUAGCUUGGAGGUGGACAGGCUGCCUGAAGGGGGUCAUGAGGCAGAUGGGUUGGGACAGGCAGGGGGAGCCACCAUCCCCAAGGAUACAGUAUCCUGGUGGAGGGGAUGACUGCUCAUUGAAGAUGGGGCUGUUAUUCAGGACCCUGGCAUCAUGCUCUGAGUCUGGGUAGCCCACACACACUUCUAUGAAUUUGCACUUAUCAUCACAGAUGGCCUGCAGCUGGAUGGAAUGAAAAAGCUUCCUGUUAAAAUAGCAGCAUCCUCCGCUGGGGGCUUCACUCUGACGUGGCAGCCAUCAAUAGCCCCCACCACUGAAGGCUGCCGACCAGCUAGACGGGCGAAGCGGGCACCUCGGCGUGGGAGUUCCUCUCCUGUAGGGUGGUGGACAACGGUGUCCAGGAGCGAUCUGCCCACUCAUCCUGUGCACCAGCCGGUGAACGGUGGCCUGUCGAAGGCCCUGGCCACCACCCGAUAGGAGGUGGCGCUGGCAAGCCAAAAAAUAAAAACUAGACGGGAGAUCUCGGGGCCCCAACCGUGGUCACAGUCAGUGCCCAGCACAGCCAUGAGGGCGUUGAAUGACUCGGGUGAGCCUGAAGUCCACCCUCAUGUCACUGUGGCCAUCACAACACAACGCCAGCAGUGGCAUUGCAACAUUGAUACGGCAGCGCCGCCUGGGACUGGGUGGCUGCUGUAGAGUGUGUGGGGAGGGGAAGGGAAGAUUAUAUUAAUAUGUAAGUCAUUUUAUCAAUAAAAUGUUGUCAUUGA